Molecule: long non-coding RNA, 502 nt
Organism: Cyanistes caeruleus (blue tit)
Lineage: Eukaryota; Metazoa; Chordata; Aves; Passeriformes; Paridae
Source: RefSeq, a predicted model, not a curated record
UGCAUCUGCAGGUUGUGAUGAGACAAUGUUGGAGCUGACUUGUGUCAGGCAUUAGAGUCCAUGGAGAAAAGCCCACAUAGGAGCAGGUUUUCUGGCAUAAUUCAUGACCUUUUCAAGGCACUCUAUUCCUGGAGAGCUGUACCCCAUUGAAAGGACCCAUGCUAGACAAGCGUGUUAAGAACUCUAUCCUGUGGAAGGGGCUCCAUGCUGGAACAGGGGAGCAGCAUGAGAAGGAGGACCAGAAAUUAAUGUGUCAUGAAUUGACCACAACUCCCUUUCCCUAUCGUCCUCUGUCACUUGAGGGGAAAAGACAGAAGUGAAGGUAGAAGUGAAGAUGAACGUGGGGAGAAGAAUGGGGUGUAUUUUUACAAAGCCCAACCAACUACAAGCUCCUCUAUUUAUCUGCCAACACGUUUGGAAGAGUUUCCAUGGUUUAAACAAUACUGAAGCCUUAUGCCCUACUUAAGAAAUUUCCUUUGAUUUAACUCCACACCACCUGCAG